GACGUAGGGGGCAAGCGUUGUUCGGAAUUAUUGGGCGUAAAGCGCUCGUAGGCGGGACAGGAAGUUCGUGUUGAAGGACCUCGGCUCAACUGAGGGACCGGCUCGAAUACUCUUGUUCUUGAGGCAAUCAGAGGGUGAUGGAAUUCCCGGUGUAGCGGUGAAAUGCGUAGAUAUCUGGAGGAACACCGGUGGCGAAGGCGGCAUCCUGGACCGACACUGACGCUGAGGAGCGAAAGCCAGGGGAGCAAACGGG
Molecule: ribosomal RNA, 253 nt
Filed under: uncultured bacterium
Lineage: Bacteria
Description: partial 16S ribosomal RNA
Rfam family: Bacterial small subunit ribosomal RNA
Source: RNAcentral